Molecule: unclassified non-coding RNA, 390 nt
Filed under: soil metagenome
Description: partial contains 5.8S ribosomal RNA, internal transcribed spacer 2, and large subunit ribosomal RNA
Rfam family: 5.8S ribosomal RNA (bases 1-122)
Source: RNAcentral
GAUGAAGAACGUAGCGAAAUGCGAUACUUGGUGUGAAUUGCAGAAUCCCGUGAACCAUCGAGUCUUUGAACGCAAGUUGCGCCCGAAGCCAUUAGGCCGAGGGCACGCCUGCCUGGGCGUCACACGUCGUUGCCCCCCAUCUACUCCUUCGGGAUUGCGGGGGGCGGAUGAUGGCCUCCCGUGCGCCUCGUCGCGCGGUUGGCAUAAAUGCCAAGUCCUCGGCGACGCACGCCACGACAAUCGGUGGUUGCGAAACCUCGGUUGCCCGUCGUGUGCGGUCGUCGCGCAUCGAGGGCUAGAAAAAAUUGCCGGGCUCCGGCUCGGCUUUCAACGCGACCCCAGGUCAGGCGGGGUUACCCGCUGAAUUUAAGCAUAUCAAUAAGCGGAGGA